GACGAACGCUGGCGGCGUGCUUAACACAUGCAAGUCGAACGGAAAGGCCUGCUUUCCCUUGUGGAUUGCGGGUACUCGAGUGGCGAACGGGUGGGUAACACGUGAGUGAUCUGCCCCCAACUUGGGUAUAAGCCUGGGAAACUGGGUCUAAUUCCCGAUAGGACUGCAGGGUGGUGCCUGUGGUGGAAAACGAUUUUCUAGUGGUUGGGGAUGAGCUCGCGGCCUAUCAGCUUGUUGGUGGGGUAAUGGCCUACCAAGGCGGCGACGGGUAGCCGGCCUGGGAGGGUGGACGGCGACAUUGGGACUGAGAUACGGCCCAGACUCCGACGGGAGGCAGCAGUGGGGAAUAAUGCACGAUGGGCGGAAGCCUGAUGCAGCGACGCCGCGUGGAGGAUGACGGCCUUCGGGUUGUAAACUCCUUUCGACCGCGAGGAAGCCACCUGGUUGGAAGGGUGGUGACGGUAGUGGUAGAAGAAGCACCGGCUAACUACGUG
This 494-nucleotide ribosomal RNA is filed under the name uncultured bacterium. RNAcentral describes it as "partial 16S ribosomal RNA". It matches the Rfam family "Bacterial small subunit ribosomal RNA", at positions 28 to 507 of the family's 1533-position model. The record is from RNAcentral.